This 6835-nucleotide long non-coding RNA is filed under the name Zea mays. Its description in RNAcentral is "long non-coding RNA (ZMAY_LNC002540)". The record is from RNAcentral. Lineage: Eukaryota; Viridiplantae; Streptophyta; Magnoliopsida; Poales; Poaceae.
AAACUUACAUUUAUUUAGAAAGUAAGAUCAAGUUACUUAUUACAGACCAGAGCUAUAAACGAGUGCUGAGUAGUACACAUAUCAAGGGAGGCAAAAACUCCUCCCGAUAGCUUUAAACAAAAAGUCCUAUAUGGAGGACCACGUCCUCCCGCAUCUUCACUCUUGUUUUUCUUCAUUUGAUACCACCUUGGAGCAAAAGCAACAAAAAUUUGUCGCUUCCUCACCUAAAAACAACAAAGGGAUAAACCCUGAGUAUGGAAUUACUCAGCAAGACUUACCCGACUAAGGAAAAGACUCUCAAGGGUAUGCUGGAUAAAUAGGAAUCAAGGAGAGGCUUUAGCAAGGAUCAACUUAGAUACUUUUGCAGAAAUAGCUUACUAAAGUGAGUCCUUACUUUCAACAUUUUAACGCCAGAUUAAAUAUUAGUAGACUCUGUUUGCCUCUAGUCUAAUUUCAUCAUCUCAUUAAUACAACAUCAUUUUUAUUCACGAAGUUCACAUCCUGACUUAGGUUGUAGGGCAGUGAUCAAGUCUCCACUCUCCGGGGAUAUAACGGCGAUCCGAAUCGAUUUACUCAGCUGAGGAUCUCUAACCACACGACAUAUGUAGCACUUAAUCCUUGCAUAUGUCAACUCGACCCCAGGGUUCUUAAGACCAGAUCAGGUUCACGCAAACCGAGAGCACAGAUACACCACCGUCCAGCCUCUUGCCACGGAGGGUACACGCUACUCCCGCCACCGCUCCACGCCCAUUUCGUGUUAUCUUAUUCUGGCCUUAGUCUGCCCGAGGCAAAGCUUACCCUGUCCCAUUUCCAGGGUAUGCGGCUAGCUAAGAUAGUCCUUGCUCUAUCAAGCCUACAUACGCAUUCAAUCCUUAAUCAACCUGGGUAGAACAUCACCUGUUCCUAGCCCAAGUCUCGAUUUAAGUAUUUCCAUCCUUAGGAUUGUUUCUAUUCCUUAGGAUGAAAAGAGCAUCACAGGGAACUUUGCAGUAAGAUCCCACCAUGCUCCCAAUGAAAAUAUAUUCUUGCAGGUAGAAGUCAUCUUUCCUCAGGAUAACCCCUGAGCAAGGCCUUAACGCAAAAGACAACUUCCAUCCACAAGAUCUAAGCAGGGCUAAGCAUUUUUGUAAAUCAAAUUUUGAUACUUCCAAAGAAGUAUCUAUAACGGGUAUGGAUAUCAAGGAAGGCAAUGCAUCAAAGGGUUUCAAGCAACUCCUAUAAACUUAAUGCACAUUUUACUAGACUUAAAGUGUGCGAAAAGUAUUUAAAAACACAAGGAAGGGGUUGCAUGCACCGGGGCUUGCCUUUGUUAGUAGGUGAGUCAGGCUCGGACUCGCAGAUGUCGAAGUAGAGCCAAGUCUCUGCCUGAGAUUCCAAAGGUGGUGAUGUCUUUUCUUCAGUCACUUCACCCUCUUCUCCGUUUUCUAAAUAUAACCAUAUAGGUAUAUAUAUAAGAAUGAAUGCCAUGUAAUGCUCAUGAGAGUGCAAAGAUAAUAAAUAUUUAUUAACUAAGUCUUGAGUACAACUUCCCUUCACGGAACUCCGAGAACUUAGGGUUUUCGGAGUCGGUAAAGGAGUUCAAAGGGCAGGGGGGUUGGUUUUGGGUUCUAGUUAUCAAACAUGGUCCAAAUCAACUCAAACCCUACCCAAGGCUUCUAAAUAUUUCUUUAAGUUCCCAUAAAAAGUUUGGGCAUUUUUGGACUUUCCAAUUAUUUUCUAAAAAUCCAUAACCAAUAUUUUUAACUACUUUAAAUGCCCUAAAAUUUCUUAUUUCCACUAAAAAUCACAAAACUAUUUUUAUUAAAUUCUAGGGAAAAUAACAAGCCUAGGAAAAUUGGUUUCACAAUUUUAAGAUUUUUCUACAAUUUUCUAUAGGUUUUCAAAGUUAUACUGUAAAAGAAAAGGGAAAACUCUAAACAGUACUGGGCUCAAACAGGCCUGCGUCGGCCCAGUUAGGGCAAAAGUGCGCUCAUGCGCGCGUCCGCGCUGCUCUGGCGGUCUUGUGAAAAGGACCUCGGUUUCUUGGCUAACCAUAACUGGGUUCUAUCACUAUUUCACUGAGUCUCUGACAUACUACAGAAAACCCCUCCAGGUUCUAAUCCUUCACUGUGUUGAGUCCACGACGGCGUCGAGCGCGGCCGAAGUCCGGCGAGCUCCUGGACCGGCGGGAUAGGGCAACGACUAGGGUUCCCGAGCGACGGACACGGAAUUGGACUCAUCCCAAACCUUUCCCCCAACUUAAUUUCACUAAUGAUCAAUAGGGUUGUGCUGACCAUGGUGACCGCGAAGGUUGUGGAUGGAUGAAGAUGUUCCUGGCGAUGGGUGGUGGUCCAGUUGCAUUGAACGGGUCGAGGGUUUUGCGGGGUGCUUAUGGAUGCUAGAACAAGAAACAGAGGGACGCGAGCUAACCGGAAUCGAGCUGGCCGCAGCGAGCUGUUCUUCACGGCGGCGGAGACUGAUUUGGGGCGAAUCCAAAAUUCAUGGAUUCUAGCGAAUGGUUGCGGCUGAUUCGUGGUGGCUGGAUAGAUUACUGCCCUACGGAGAUUGUGGCGCACUCAAUUUAUAGAUGCAUCGGGCGACGGUGAUGAAUUCGGCCGAGGGGUGCUGGCGGCCGGAGAGGGGAGGCGAGCUCUAUGCGGGGGAAACGUGGCUUUCAUCGUGGCAAUGGCUCCGGUGAUCGCCGGACAUGCAUCCGGUGAGUCACCGCGAUGAAGUCCCACGCUGAGGCACGCGGCGUGCAACGGCGACAGCUCGACGGCGGCGAGGCUAUCCGUUCGACCGAUGAGCUGGGGAGGAAGUACGACGGGCUUAGCCGCCACGAGGCUCAACUCAAUCCGGGCGCCAGAUAUUUACCAGCGCGAGCUUAUCUGCUGCCUACGGUGCACGAAUCGUGGCGAUCCGUCAACAACCCCGGCGAAAAGUCACCGGCGACGAGCAGGGGGGUGAAUCGUGAUCUUCUUCAGUUUGGGGCUUACUGUACCAUGGCGAAUGGAGUUCAGUCAUCCUGACAGACCGUUUUUGAGCUUAAUUUUCUCCCAAACCUGUAUGGCAACACAUACCAAAUUAUGCAGCAAAGUUGUUCCUGUAUAGAAGCUCUACAACUUUGUUAUAGCAAUCCUAGGUAGAUUCCCACUGGAGCUUAGUCGAAAUGGCUCUCAAACUUGGACCAAAGUCACUGUCAACUUAAAGUUCAGACUGUAUCAGUCUGACAGUCCAACUUUGGACAUAAAUAUCUCAGAAUUCUUCAUGGUACCAAGGCAUGAGUUCUAUAGUAAAGUUGUGCUCCUUCCAUAGAUCUACAAUAUUGAUGUGCUUACCUAGUGCAAAAACCCUGUAUUUUAAAAGUUGCAAGGCUCCAAAGUUGAGCUCAUCAAUCUGAAAUUCAGACUUAGCAUGAAAUCACCACUAGGGGCCUUUUUGCAAAUGAAUUCAAAUCUCAAGGUUUGGCUUCCAAAUUCACACCUUAGUGAAUCAAGUGACUUAAAAUACUUUAUUAACUUGGUUUUUGCACUUUAGUCCAAAUGUGCAUCAAUUUUGCACAUAAGUCCCUAGGGUUUGGACUUAGGGUUUUCCUAGGGCUUCAUUUAGGGUUUCUGGUAGCUUAGGGGUAUAAAUGUGAUUCAAGUUUAUUCUUGGGGUCAUUUUAUGACUUUUCCCUAAAGCUUUUAGGUUUCCUCAACUUGGGUUAAGUUUUUACCCCUUUAAUCCCUAUUUAGGGCUAAGCACCUUAUUCCAGGGUCUUAUUUGCGAAACACUAAUACAACUUGCUUGAAAUUUUUACUUAGGGUUCCAAUAUUUGAGCACCUAUAACCUUUUGCUCUUUUCUCCAAUUUGCUCCACAACAUAAGGAAAUCUCCAAAUGGGAAAAUGUUAGGCUCUCCAAACCCAAUCACUUUGAUAUAUGCACUUUUUCCAAAAGUAUGGCUAAAUCUCCAAAUCCACUUUUGGGGCUCAGGUUUAGGGUUUAGAGAUACUCAACCACCCUAAGUGCUUCACCACUUCUAAUGCUCAUACUGAAAACAAACUUAUCCAUCCUCCUAAAGCCAAGCUACUCUUUAACCUUAAAUCCAACUGUGGUAUAUAGAGCUCAUGUCCAAAGUGUGCUUGGUUUAGGGUUUACUUCGCUUACACACUAUUUCAAUCGAAGCUUUCAAACCUUACUGAAGGCUUUGAGGUGAUCCAUCUCCUCAAGUGUUACUUCCACUAGACUAACACUCCAAAACAAAUAAUUCCGGGUUCUUAAAGCUUUCCUUUAAUACUUAAGACUCCAAGUCAUCAUAUUACUUGCUCAAGAGAUGAUCUUUCCUUAUUUUGCUCAAACCCAGUCCUUAACUAAGUCCACUACUCAACACACAACAUCACACUUUUUACAAAGUUUUAACCUAAUAAAUGCAUUCUAGGUGUAUCAAGCACAUUAAUGCAGAUGCUUAUGAUGACAUGUUAGAGUUUUAGUUUACGUAACACCAGGGGUGUUACAGCCUUCCCCCCUAAAAGAAAUCUCAUCCUGAGAUUUAAAAGUCUAGGCUCAGUAACGGAAAAGGAAAUGUGUCACAAACUUAUUUCCCAAUUUCUCCUACCAAACAGGGGUGUGCCACUAUUGGUUUAAAAUUCACAAACCCUAAGGUUUUCCAAAAACUCAAAACUUAGGGCAAGGACUUUGUCUUCUAAAUAUCCCUCUGACCAUCUACAUGGUUUCAUCUUCUGUGGGGUAGUUCCACUGUACUCCAUAAAACUUGAUAUCUUUCUGUGUUUUAUCCAAGAUGUUGCAUCUAAUUUGGAUAAAGUCUAUCCAUUUGUCCAAAAUCACAUGGGAAAUCAGGUGAUACCAUUUCAUCACGAAACAUAAUUAAAAAUUAUGGUCUCAGCGUGUGCUAAGUCAUUUAUCCGCACACGCGCAUUCGCAUGGAAUAUCCAAAGGAAUAGCCAUCAUAACUCUUGAAGUUUGACAAACUACUAUAGAUAUUAAAAGUUGCCUCUAAAACAGGCAGUCGUUUCUUACACCAUAGUCAUAGAAAAGCUCACAUGUUACAUGAUCCAGGUGAAACAGGAAAACUCUUUCCAACAAAGUCUAACCUGUUUUUAUUACCAAGCUGGUCUAUCUUACACCUACCUUUCUUACAUUGAUCUAUUUCGCUAAACUCCCAGUUACCUACUACAUCUUCUCUAGCUACACCACCUGCCAGAUGCUUGUUGCCAUCCUUCCAAGGAACCCUCAGUCCGCUGAUGCAGGAGUAGGAUAAAAGGCAACAUUGAGCCUAUGCACUGUUUGCAGCAGAUGGUUGACAAGCCGUUGUGCUACUUGAAAUUCCAUUGGAUGAGCACGAUUCAAUUCCUGGAUCGCCUGAUCCUGAUGGCUUAUGAAGCUUAGGGUUUCCUUAAGGUCUUCGCUAACAGCAAUAGCACCCAAGCGAAUUUCUUCUUGUUGCUGACUCAGAACUUUUGAUUUAGAAUGAGCAUUAGCUAGCUGAUGCUCAAGCUCCUUAAUGCGAUUCUGAUCAGCUUGGUGUUGUGUCUGAAGUCCUGUCACCUGAUGCUCUAGUCCAAUAAUCUAUUUCGCUUGAACCUUUGUUUCCUCAAGUCGUUCUUGUGUUGGGUACAAGCCCUAUUCUUGGCCAUUUCCAUCAUCUUAAAUGCUGCAUAACUCCCAGUGUACAACUGCUGCCACUUUUGACGACUGUGCCCUCGAGCAAGCUGCAACUCUAGCACGGCCAUCAAUACUCGAGCAGAUGCCGAUUCUACAGAAUCCUGCCCAAUAGGAAUGCUUUCCAAUAAUCGGGCCUGGUGAUGAUACACCAAUGGGUCACUUAAGGCAACUACAGGGAACAACCUCAUAGAUGUGGCUUGUAUUUCUUCCCAUUUCUGGUAACAAAUGGUUGUUAGCGCCUCUAAGGCAGCUACCUGAGCACCUUCCCAAGGAGUCAUUCCUUCAACAUGGAACAUCCAAUGUGGCCAAGAUGGCUUUCUAGCACGUUCUGGAAUACGCACUACCACCUCAUACCAUGGUUGUCCUCUAAGAACAGUGCACGACCACUGGUACUUGGGUGUUUCGAUAUAUCCGACUUCUUGAAGUAGUCGCCACAGGACCACUGGAACACCAAAAUCUUGUAGAAACUCUCCAACUCCGGUAGGGGCUUCUUGUUGAUUCAUCUUCAGAGAAGAGCAACGGAACACUCUACUUACUAAAAAUGUAUGAACAAGGUAGCUACAUAGGGGGUUUAAUUUAAAGUUUGUAUGACAUGAUGCAUGUGUAAAUACAGAAUCAACCUUAGUUGAUUCAUCCUUCUAUACGUUGCACUCUUCCUAUCUGGUCUUUUAAGAUAAACUCUUCAGAAUACUUAGGUAAGAAAGGAAGAAAGUUUCUAGGUAAGAAUUUUAGAAAAUCCUUUUGAAGAUGCCUCAUAAUAUCUGCAAAGAAAGGCUACGCUCCGAUACCAGAUGUGACGGAACCUCCCAAGUAAUUAGGCCCACCUACAGUUGUCCUUGUCUAACAGACAUCAGACACCCUGUAGAUGUUCCUAAGUCACUUGACAAGUUCGGUAUCUUUCCUUACCUUACCAGGAACGUUUCACCCGUCUUGCAGACAUUACAGAACAUUGGAGAUAAAGAAAUGCGGAAGCUAUUACAUAAACUUACAUUUAUUUAGAAAGUAAGAUCAAGUUACUUAUUACAGACCAGAGCUAUAAACAAGUGCUGAGUAGUACACAUAUCAAGGGAGGCAAAAACUCCUCCCGAUAGCUUUAAACAAAAAGUCCUAUAUGGAGGACCACGUCCUCCCGCAUCUUCACUCUUGUUUUUCUUCAUUUGAUACCACCUUGGAGCAAAAGCAACAAAAAUU